Molecule: ribosomal RNA, 982 nt
Filed under: Metamasius sp. USNM ENT 01119974
Lineage: Eukaryota; Metazoa; Arthropoda; Insecta; Coleoptera; Curculionidae
Description: partial large subunit ribosomal RNA
Rfam family: Eukaryotic large subunit ribosomal RNA
Source: RNAcentral
AGCCCAGCACCUAAUCCCGUGGCCGCUGCCGGUCGCCGGGAAAUGUGGUGUUCGGGAUGAUCCGUUAUCUCGAGAUCAUGCGACGCGUCCAAGUCCUUCUUGAACGGGGCCACAGCCCAUAGAGGGUGCCAGGCCCGUAGCGACCGUUGCUGAUACCGAGAGGGUCCAUCCUUAGAGUCGGGUUGCUUGAGAGUGCAGCCCUAAGUGGGUGGUAAACUCCAUCUAAGGCUAAAUAUGACCACGAGACCGAUAGCGAACAAGUACCGUGAGGGAAAGUUGAAAAGCACUUUGAAGAGAGAGUUCAAGAGUACGUGAAACCGUUUAGGGGUAAACCUGAGAAACCCGAAAGGUCGAAGGGAGAAAUUCAUUCGCGUUUCAUCGCAGGCGCGCGGCGAUCGCGUGACGGAGGCGUUCGCGCUUUCCGCACCUUUCGUCGUGUCGAUCCGGCGGCGAACGCGUGCACUUUUCUCCUGGUAGGACGUCGCGAUCCGUUGGGUGUCGGUCUAAGGAUCGACGGUGGAGCCCGCGAGCACGAUUUCGCGUCGUCGUUCGCGGACCCGUUUUUCCCGGCCGACUCGCUCGACGGUAUACGAAAGGUUUAAGGCCGCUCUCUCUACGAGCGUUCGACCCGCGACAAGCGCGCCAGUAGCCGUUGGCUAUCGGACCUAGUGCCGGUACUGACCUCUGGUGACUGUUGGUCGUGGUGUUCUCGAACCGACCUUUUUCGAAACCGAUCUGCGACGCUAUAGCGUUGGGUACUUUCAGGACCCGUCUUGAAACACGGACCAAGGAGUCUAGCAUGUGCGCGAGUCAUUGGGAAUUAUUAAACCUAAAGGCGUAAUGAAAGUAAAGGUUCGUCUCGCACGGACCGAGGGAAGAUGGGCGAUUUACCCUUAAAAGUGGUCGCUCCGCAUUCCCGGGGCGUCUCGUUCUCAUCGCGAGAAGAGGCGCACCAAGAGCGUACACGCUGGGACCCGAAAGA